This 832-nucleotide ribosomal RNA is filed under the name Alloxysta sp. ZJUH_2016001. Its description in RNAcentral is "12S ribosomal RNA". Lineage: Eukaryota; Metazoa; Arthropoda; Insecta; Hymenoptera; Figitidae. The record is from RNAcentral.
AAAAAAUUUAAUUUAUAUUUAUUAUUAAUUUAAAAAGUUAUAAAAAUAUAUAAAUUUUUGUUUAAAAAUAUAUUAAAUAAAUAGUUUUUAUUUAAUAAUUAAAAUUAACCAAUUAAAGAAAUUUUUAGUUUGUAAAUUUUUUUUAAUUAUAAAUUAAAAAAGUGCCAGCAAUAGCGGUUAAACUUUUUAUAAAAAAUUAAUAUAUUUAAUUUAAUAAUUAAAUAAAUAAUUUAAUUAUUUUAAUAAAUCAAUUUAAAAUAUUUGGUAAAAUGAAUUUAUUUAAAUUUAAAUAAUAUUUAUUAUAUAAUUAGUUAUAUUGAAAUUUAUUAAAAUUUAUUUUAAAACUAAGAUUAGAUACCUUAUUAUAUAAAACUAAAUAAAAAUAUUAAUAUAGUAAAUUUUAAUAAUUAAAUAAAUAAAUUUGACAGUAUUUUAAUUUAUUCAGAGGAACUUAUUGUAUAAUUGAUAAUCCACGAUAAGAUUUACUUAUAUAAUAAUAUUUAUAUAUAUUCGUUUAUUAAAUAAUAUUUUAAAAUAAUUUUUGAAAUUUUUUAAUUAAAAAUAAUUCAGAUCAAUAUGUAAUUUAUUUAUAAGAAAUUAAUGAGUUACAUUAAUUAUAUAUUUAAUAAAAUUUUUAUUUUUAAAUAAUAUUAAAUUAAUAGAAUUUGAAUGUAAAAUAAAUUAAUUAAUUAAUUUGAUUAAAAUUUUAAAAUAGGUACAAAUUGCCCGUCAAUUUAAUUAUUUGAAAAUAAAAUAUUUUAAUAUAAUUUAUUUUUUUAAGUUAAAUAAGUCGUAACAAAGUAAAAAUACUGGAAAGUGUUUUUAGAAUUUA